GCAGAGUUCAGUUAGUUUGUUAUAAAAUCUUGCUAUUCAAGAUGAAGGGGAUAAAAUAAUUUGUUAUUACUCCCUGCUUCUUCCUCCUGAGAUAUCGAAGUUAAAGGGAGAAGAGAAGCAGCUGUAGGAAAAGCAACAGCAAUCUCUCUUUUAGACAAAUCAAACAUCCCACGUAUAAGGACACCAUUAGCCACAUGUUCCAUAAAACUACCACUAAUCCACCUGUUCCAAAGCAGCUGAACUUGCAAUUUCAGGCCUGCAAAGCUAAAAGACAUUAACAAACGGUGAGCAGAAAAAGAAAAAAUAAAGCACUCUAUCUAAAAUAAAAGAGCUUCCCCAAAAGCACAAAUAAAGAAGCGGAGGUGAGGGGCUGUGGGAGACACAGAAAACAACAUUGCUGAUUUGAGAUCAGAAGCUCAGAGUUUGCCAUGAAUGAACUAAGUCAGCAUUUCUCUGAAGGCUCUUGGACCCCACUGAAAAUCGGACUGUUCAACUCAUCUGGCAGCCACUCCCAGAGCCCCUGGAACUCUGGCCCAAGCCUCUCUGACUGACUCCUUCCCAGAUCUUCUCGGCUUAGCAGCUGAAGACUGACACUGCCCAAUCGCCUUGGAAGCCCCCUAGACCAUCACGGAUGCCGAGCUUCGAGUAACUCUCACAGUGGAGGGAACGCGCAUGAAAAAACCAAACAAACAAAAAAAUUUCUUUUGGUAGCAGAAUAAAAAAACAAAAAAAA
This 733-nucleotide long non-coding RNA is filed under the name Homo sapiens (human). RNAcentral describes it as "long intergenic non-protein coding RNA 458". Lineage: Eukaryota; Metazoa; Chordata; Mammalia; Primates; Hominidae. The record is from RNAcentral.